RNAcentral lists this long non-coding RNA (1219 nucleotides) under Olea europaea (common olive). RNAcentral's name for it is "long non-coding RNA (OEUR_LNC012974)". Lineage: Eukaryota; Viridiplantae; Streptophyta; Magnoliopsida; Lamiales; Oleaceae. The record is from RNAcentral.
UUGCCACAUAUCUGUUAAAGAUAAAUCCCACAUCGAAAAUAGAGACCAACUUCUAAAAUUUUGAAUUACUUCCUUAAUAAUAUUGAUCUUUUACAUUGAAAAUAGAGAUCAACUUCUAAAAUUUUGAGUUACUUCCUUAAUAAUAUUGACCUUUUAAGAUAGAAUAUCAAAUCUUAAUAUGGUAAAGCCCAUCAAACUCCACGAACAAUUAGAUCCUAUUAAGACUCAAAAAAUGAGUACGUGAAUUUCAAGAUUGGUUUGUCAAACGAGCCACCAUCUUGUGGGGUGCAAAUUAAUGAAUAAAUCCCACAUCGAAUAAAGAUGGAAGCAUAGAUAAAUUUAUAAAAAUUUAGAUUACCACUCUUAAAAAGAUUGAUAUUUUAAGAUGGAACCCAAAUUUUAAUAACAUCUUGGGACGAUCAUCGAUGAUAGCCUCAUAUUCUGUUCAGAACAGGUACUUCCCUUCUCAUUCCCAAUUUUGUUUAUGUAGCUUACAAUUCAAAAGGUUGUGACUCAUAGUUAAGUGUUGUAACUCUUGGGAAGAGUUGGGAAUAAAUCUAUUUACAUAUUCAAAGUUUAUUUAGUUGCUGAUAAUGAAAAAUACAACGAGAUUGGACGUUCAAUUUCUCUAAUGCUAUCUUUUUCAUUUUUUUCAAACUUCUUGCAUUAAAACGACUUUUUGUUUAUUCAUUUUUCUUAAAUAUUGUUUGUACUUCAUUUAUUAAAGUAUAAACAUCGAGUAUAGAUUUCAAUUUUUUUUUAUGUUAACAUUGACUUUAUGUGUGCACAAUGCAACAACUGUUAAAUUAAGAUCUUCAAUGUAUCAUGGAGGCAUAUUUUCAUUUUUGGCAACAUCAUGGCUUAGUGAAGAAAAAUAACAUCUUGAGAAAAGCCAUUGCAUUCCUCGAAGCCGGUUGUGGUUUAGCUCGGGUUACCACUUACCAUGAUUUUCAAUUUUUUUUGUUUAUUCAUAUUGCCAAGUCAACAUUGGAGGAUCCCCACCAAGAAUCUUAUGUUAUUCUCAAGUGAAGUUUGUAAUAGCAUAUCCGAUAUCUUCAUUAUAAGAUUUACAGUAGCUUUUAUAAAGUUGGAAAGGUUCAACGGUGCUAUUUUCUAACAUGGCGAAAAAAAUUCGCUCACAACCCUUCAAAGUAGUGUAUGUGCUUAUAACUCAAAGGUAAAAAGAGACGGAAAAUGAACUUUUGGCAAAUACAAGGGC